UUUUUUUUUUUUUUUUUUUUUUUGCUUUUUAGGGCCACACCUGCGGCAUACGGAGGUUCCCAGGCUAGGGGUCCAACGUAAGUGACAGCCGCCAGCCUACACCACAGCCACAGCAACACAGGAUCCGAGCCGCGUCUGCGACCUACACCACAGCUCACGGCAACACUGGAUCCUUAACCCACUGGGCAAGGCCGGGGAUCAAACCCACAACCUCAUGGUUCCUAGGCAGAUUCUUUUCUGCUGUGCCACAACGGGAACUCUGGGAAGAAUUUCUUAAACAAGAAAGUAUUGACCAUAAAGGAAAGGACUGAUAAAACUAAUAAAGUUAAAAUUAAGAGUUUGUGAGCACCCAGAGGCCUCACAAAUAGAGCAAAAAAGACAAGUCAAAGAGGGAAAAGAUAUUUGCAACACAUACGUUCAAGUAAAGACUCACCCCGGAACAUACAAAGGAGUCCUAUAAAUUGCGAAAAAAGAAGACAAUUUACAGAAAAAGGGGAAACACUUAAGAAAAAAAGUAGCCAAGAAGCCACCAAUCAGGGAAAAGCAAAUUAAAACCACAAUAAGACAGCAUUUCACAUUCACCAGACAGGCAAAAAUGACAAAUUAACAAUACCAAGUUCUGGUGAAGAGAUGGAGCAGUAAGAGCGCCCAUUCACUGUUAGAAGGAGCACAAGCUGAACCAAGCGCUUGGGGAAAUAGUUUGAAUUACAGUGAAGCUAAAAGUCAAAUACUCAGGAGCUCCGCCUGUGGCACAGUGGUUAAGAAUCUGACUGCAGUGGCUCCAGUUGCUGCAGAGGUGAGGGCUUGAUCCCUGGCCCAGCACAGUGGGUUAAAAGAUCUGGUGUCGCCGCAGCUACAGCAUCGUACAUCACAGCUGCAGCUCAGAUUUAAUCCUCGGCCCAGGAACUUUCCUAUGUUGCAGGUGUGGCCGUAAAAUUAAAAAAAAAGAAAAUAUGAAUACUCCAUGACCCAAGAGUCCACCCCUCAUACCAUACACACACUAGAAAGACAUUUGCACAAAGAGAUGUGUGUGUGUGUGUGUGUGUGUAUUGUGUACACAUAGGAAUGUUUUCGAGCCUUUUUCAUAAGACCCAAAAGCUGGAAACAGUUCAAACAUCCAUCAACAGGACAAUGGACAAAUGCCUCAUCGUAGGACAGGAACCUGAACAAAAACAACGAGCAAACCACAGGGACAGGCAGCAACGUGGCUGAGUCUUGCACUUAUACUGUUGAUGAAAACAAACAAGUAAAAGUAACGGACACCGAACACUUGCAGAACUAAAUGAUGCCAUUUACCGAUACCCCCAUGGCUGCACGCUUCUUAUGGAGCAAAGGGAGAGGUGGCUGUAAAGCAGAGAAGGUUCUAGGGCAGUGUUCUGGCUCUUAAUCUGGACGGGGGUUCUAGGCAGUCCACUUGCUCAUUAAACCACAUCUAUUUCCCUGUUUUCUACAUGCUUCUGCCUGUAUGCCAUAUUUCCUAAUUUCUGAUUCUCCUCUUAAGAAGGUGCAAUGCUGCCUGUGUCCUGACUAGGAAAGAAGCUUUACUUUGCGGAAAGAAAAGCUCAUCACGCUCAAACUCUCAAAUGUAAAAAAAUUCACAGAUGUAUUUCCAAAGACAAUCCAUCAAAGACAGUAAGAACGUUCGAUUACAAGGAACCCUAAAUAAAAGGAGUUACAGCUCACCAAAAUCUGAUGAUACUGCCAUUUUUAUAAAAAUCAAAAGAUGCAGAGUGAUAGUUAAGGUGGAGGUUGGAUUACAUGACACACGUGGAGGAAUCACCAUCAAAAUAAUUAGCAGAGAGGUGACAAACACCUGAUGAUGGCUUAGGCACACGGUUAAGGCACAUAUAAUAUUUAAAUAUGCAAAACAUACUUUUCAUGAUUCUUUUCUAUUUCUUCCUCUUUUGCCUUAAAAUAAAACAAUUCAGAGCCUUUAUCCAAACUGAAGACUUUCCACUCUGACCGAGACCAAGCAGAGAACUCUACAGAGAGUACAAAUUAGCAGCUCCCCGUAUCUCUAAACGCACACUCUAACAGCAAAUAGACUUCUGCUCAGCUCCAGUUUUCUGAGAAUGGUUCUGCAUUUGUUUUUACUAGGAGGCCACUUAAAUCUUACUCACUUGUUUAGCUGUAAGGAUUGAAACAAAAUGUUUGCUGGCAAAACAAACACUGGUUUUAAAACCCUCCACUUGGGCUGCUGGAUAAAACACUUGUUUACUGAAACAAAUGUUUUAUUUGGAAAACGCCUGCCAGGGUGCACACUUUCCAAAGAAAUACACCAGGAUGUGCUGGGGGGGUGACGUCACGCCCUUGAGAGGGGUUGGCAUUUUAGGGGAACUUCACAAAGUUUACUUUCAGAGAAUAGAACAACGAUGGGAAAACCAAUCUUAAAAACAAAGAAAGAAACAAACAAACAACCCCCCAGGCCUCAAAUACUCUAGUAAGUAUUACUAUCACCAUCAGCAGCAGCAGCAGCAGCACUAUUUUAGAACUAAGUCUCUCCUUUCAGAUUUAGUCUACGCCUUCUGGCUCCCCUAUGUGACAUGGCAUGAAAAACCAUUUCCAUCCCUUAGUAAGAUACGCUAGAACCCUGAAAUGCCAUUAUUAACCACAAGAUAGGAUUGAGCACAGGCAAGUCUAACUUGAAACCCAUCCAAGGAAAUUUACUUUCUUAAGUACCAAAAGAAAACAUCCCAAAAGAUAGUCUUGGGACGCUGUGGUUAGUUUCCUAUGGAGGCUCCAGUAAACACAUUACAUUUGACCAAAUAAGAUUCCACCCCAGAAAGCUUAAGAAUUUUCAUCAAUAUUUUCCUGCUAAUGUUAGGCACUAAGAACUAAAAUGCAUCGUUGUCAGAGUCUACUGUCACAGUCUCCAACUUCUAAAACGUGCGUUCUCCAUCUUUAAAAAACACUUUUGCAUAUGCCCAAGCACAUGCAUAUUUUUAUUUAUAAACUAUAUGCUGCUAAUAGGCACGAUAAAACAUAUACAAAAAUAGACAAUGCAAAGGACAUUUCUCUAAAGAAGACACGCACCUGACCAAGAAGCACAUGCAAAGAUGCUCAGUAUCAUUAGUUACCAGGGAAACGGAAAGCAAAACCGUAAGAUACUACUUCAUAUUCACUGGGGUGGCUGUAAUCAAAAAAUGGAAAGUAACAAGGGCUGGCAAAGAUGUGGAGAAACUGGAACCCUCACACAUUGUUAUUAAAUUGACUCUCGACAGGUGCAGCCUCUGUGGGAAACAGUUUGGGAGUUUCUCAAAACGUGAAACAUGGAAUAACCACAUGACCCAGCAAUUCCAAUCUUAGGUAUUUAUAUACAUCUAUACCCCAGAGAACUGAACACCGAGAUUUCAACAGAUGCUUUUAUACCCAUAUUUACAGCCACAUUAUUCAAAAGAGCCCAUGUGGAAACAACCCAGAUGUCCAUCAACUGAUGAACGCACAAACAAAAUGCAAUCUGCAGAGAUAUCAGGAUAUUAUUCAGCCAAAAAAGAAAUGAAGUACUGACGCAUGAUAAAGCCUGGUGGACCUCUGGAAACAUCAUGCGACGUGAAAUAAGCCAGCUCCCAAAGGACAUCGAUGGUACGAGUCCAGUCAUAGGAAACAUCUAGAACAGGCAUAGGAGACAGACAGUAGGUUAGCGGGUAAAGGUGGACAUGGGGCGUUAUUGCGUAAUGGGUGCAGGGUUUCUGUUUGGGGUGAUGAAAAAUUUUGGAAAUUGACAGUGGCGAUGGUUGCACAACCCUGGAUGUAAUUAAUGCCACUGAACUGUACACUUAAAAAUGAUGACAAUGGAGAAUUGUACGUUACAUCUUUCUUUAACCACAAUUUUAACAAAGGGGGAAAAAAAAAAAGAGGACAAGCUAAAAAUACAAUUGAGGUUCUAAUAGCUUCUUCUCAAAUUGCAUGGGUCACCCAGCAUGCUCUGGGGCUGGGUGGGGGUUGGAGGCAGAGCUUCCAAGGCCAAAGCAGGAAUUAGUGAACUGGAUAGGAGCUAGAGAGGAUACUGGCCAGGGUGACGGUGUCUGAGUUAUGGGAAUGCCUACAAGUCAAAAAAGAAUUUUACUUUAUUUUUUGUCUUUUCUAGGGCCGCUCCCACAGCAUAUGGAGGUUCCCAGGCUAGGGGUCGAAUCGGAGCUGCAGCUGUUGGUCUACACCACAGCCACAACCACUCCAGAUCCGAGCCGCGUCUGCGACCUACACCACAGCUCACGGCAACGCCGGAUCCUUAACCCACUGAGCAAGGCCAGGGAUCGAACCCGCAACCUCAUGAUUCGUUAACCACUGAGCCACGACAGGAGCUCCAAAGAAUUUUACUUUUAAUUCAAAGGGGAGAGGACCCCAUUCUGUAGCCUUGCCCUAGAAUUCCACGGGGACGCCCUUGAGUUCUCACCAUCGCCCCCACCAAGACCUGGACAUCGGAAUCACGGCACACACACGGGGACACCCUCUUCACUUCCCCGGCAAAGCUCAGGCAAAUCCAGCCCGCCUGAUGCAGGGCCCGAGGUCCUGCCUCACAAAGCAGAAUGUACUUCACCAUCAUUUUCUGGUCCUCUGGUCUCAGGUAAGACCUGAAAAGAUGCCUUUUCAAAGCUGUUUCCAAAGUCAUUUUCAUCACUUUCCCCCCUCGGGCUCAAGAGCAUCAUUCAAGGGGGAAAGGACAGGAAAUAAUGAAAAGAUCAGCAGCUCGACCUCCAGAAGCUCCUACACUGCCUGUGCUAGACGCGCCAGCUAUGAGGCUGGCCUGGGACCAAGGUAAUCAAAAGAAAAACACACACGAGUUUGAGGGCUAGGCUGACAUCCUGGGAGGCAGAAGGCCUCGUCCAGCACAGACGUGACAAAGCAAAGCGCACGGCUGUGGAACAACACGGCCCUCGCCUUCGCCAUCGCAGAGGCCACCGUGAGAGAGACACCUGUCCAUUGCUGGCCUGUUUGAUUUCAAAAGCGGGGGUGUUUUUCUAGUAAAAAGCAAGGACUCAGCUUUAAAAGGAAACUCAAAAUGGAGACAGGUUAGACUCCUGGGAGCAUCCGAACUUUCACUGUCUGCAGAUUGAUGACACAGCAACACGAAGGAGCAGUCUUUCCUUUGGCAGAUCGGCCGAAGCUCGCGGCACAGGAAGGACCGACAUCUUCUAAAAGUGCAGCACGAAACCGCUGAUUCGUGCCCUUCACGUUGCUCAAGUGACUACACCUGAUAAAUGACAACUCGGUGACUCCCGAACGGAUCCUCUCCAGACCUCUCCUCUGAAACCCGGAUUUCCACACCUUAGCGUACAGAGCACUCAAACUCUAUGCAACUAGGAGUUCCCGUCGUGGCGCAGUGGUUAACGAAUCCGACUGGGAACCAAGAGGUUGCGGGUUCGGUCCCUGCCCUCGCUCAGCGGCUUAGGGAUCCGGCGUUGCCGUGAGCUGUGGUGUAGGUUGCAGACGCGGCUCGGAUCCCGCGUUGCUGUGGCUCUGGUGUAGGCCAGUGGCUACAACUCCGAUUCGACCCCUAGCCUGGGAACCUCCAUAUGCCGCGGGAGCGGCCCAAGAAAUAGCAAAAAGACAAAAAAAAAAAAAAAAAAAAAAAAAUCUAUGCAACGACUGCUUCUAAACAGAAUUCAGUAAAUUAUACUGGGGGCGUGGGUGGGCACAGGAUUGUGAAUCCAUCGAAAAUAAAUGAUCUCCACGUUGUUCGUGCUGCAGCUCUAAUCGCCAAUGCCUGUUACAGCUGCCAGAGGAGAACCUUCCAUUGGUAAUUAAGGCCCACCAUGAAGUCCUGGCUUUUAAAAGAUGAGUCGUCCAAACGCAGAGAAACACAUGAGGAUUCUCUUCUAAAAGCCUUUCCUUUCAGUUCCAACCCUGAUAUUGUUUCAAAACUCUUUUCUCAAGGCCCUCUCUAGCAUGCUAUAU
Molecule: long non-coding RNA, 5895 nt
Filed under: Sus scrofa (pig)
Lineage: Eukaryota; Metazoa; Chordata; Mammalia; Artiodactyla; Suidae
Description: lncRNA (ENSSSCG00000063361.1)
Source: RNAcentral